This 403-nucleotide ribosomal RNA is filed under the name Verrucomicrobiota bacterium. RNAcentral describes it as "Verrucomicrobia bacterium partial 16S ribosomal RNA". It matches the Rfam family "Bacterial small subunit ribosomal RNA", at positions 355 to 776 of the family's 1533-position model. Lineage: Bacteria; Pseudomonadati; Verrucomicrobiota. The record is from RNAcentral.
UGGGGAAUAUUGCACAAUGGGGGAAACCCUGAUGCAGCGACGCCGCGUGAGCGAUGAAGGCUUUCGAGUCGUAAAGCUCUGUCCUAUGGGAAGAUAAUGACGGUACCAUAGAAGAAAGCCCCGGCUAAUUACGUGCCAGCAGCCGCGGUAAUACGUAAGGGGCGAGCGUUGUCCGGAUUUAUUGGGCGUAAAGCGAGCGCAGGCGGUUAGAAAAGUCUGAAGUGAAAGGCAGUGGCUCAACCAUUGUAGGCUUUGGAAACUGUUUAACUUGAGUGCAGAAGGGGAGAGUGGAAUUCCAUGGGUAGCGGUGAAAUGCGUAGAUAUAUGGAGGAACACCGGUGGCGAAAGCGGCUCUCUGGUCUGUAACUGACGCUGAGGCUCGAAAGCGUGGGGAGCGAACAGG